This is a long non-coding RNA of Manis pentadactyla (Chinese pangolin), 4273 nucleotides long. RefSeq lists it as uncharacterized. The record is from RefSeq and is a predicted model, not a curated record. Lineage: Eukaryota; Metazoa; Chordata; Mammalia; Pholidota; Manidae. The transcript is spliced from 7 exons.
UUUAGAAAAGAGGAAGGAAGUCAAGAAGUGAGGAUAUAAAAUCAGAUGGGUUAUUCAAGUGGACAUCUAUCUCACCCAGAAUGAUGGCAAAACUUAGGAUGGAGAGAAGUUGUAAAUUGGUUGCCAGUACCUUCAGUGGAUAAGGGAUGAAUGAUACUAAUGGAGUGUAAGAGAAGGUGUUAAGGCUAAAUCCAAGAGCCUUGAAGAAACAGGUUGAGGUUGAUAAUGUUAUUUUGGUGAGAAGAAUUUGAGGGAUUGUGUGUGCCAGGCACUCUUGCAAGGCACAAAAAACACUGUGUAAAUAUUGCAAGGCCCUGUCCUCUUAGAGGAGCGCACACUAUAGAAGAAGACAGCCACAUGUGCAGUUAGUGACAGUACAGUGAGAUCCUACCUUCAAAGUAUAGUGGGAGCCUCAAGGAAGUACAGGUUAUGUUUAGCUGAAGAAAUCAUUGAAGGUUUCACAGGAGAGAUAAUAUCUGAACUAAAAAGUUUAUGUAGUUUCUCAAGUGGAGGAGGAGAAGGACAUUACAGUAAGAAUUAUAAGAUGUACGGUUCCUAACUAUGACAGACAAACAUAAACUCAAAAUGAUAGCAUCCCUUCUCAUAGUAAGCACUGACGUAAUACGGAGUUCUCUAUCAUUAUAAUAUCUCCAUCUCUUAGCCAAUAGUUCUAUUUUUUUGUUCUAGAGUUCAACAUUGUUCUCUAAUGGGAUGAUUGAAAGCAUGUAUCUGGUGUGUGUAUGUCCUUGUGUUUUUGGUGUUUCUUUUAAAGUUAUGCUUGAAAUAAUAUUUUACCAAAAAUAAAUGCAGAGGUGCUCUAUAAAAAAACAAAAUACAAUUCUUUGAUUAUUUGCCAUUGUUGCUGCAAACACUCCUUCAGGAAAUUAAAUGUCUACUAUAUGGGUGAAGUUCUGUUUUAAACCACAAGGAUACAAAGAUGAACAUGAUAGUCUCUGAUCUCAGGGAACUCAUCCUUUAUUAUGAUCCAGGAACAAGAUGUUUGGGCAGUAUCAAUAUACUAACCACAGGGAAUGCUAUGACCUUUUUAAAAAUCACAACUUAUUUCUCUUAAAUCCUCAGACGUGUUUUUAGAAUGUUGAUUUAUUCCUUCGCUGUUUAUGGAAAGAGAUUUGAUUUCAUCAAACUGAAUAUAGUUAAACAAAAUUUUGGUUCAUUUGAUAGAGUAAUCUAUAAUAAGCCUCAAAACAAAGUAUGUUUUUUCUUGAAUUUAAGAGCCUUCCUAAUUUUGGCUUUAUUCCUCAAAGGUUGUGAACAUGAGAAAAGAAGUGAAGAGAAUCUGAGCUUUGGUUAUCCGAAAACUUGUCAGGAGUGUGAGCAGACUGCAGUCAAAAAAGGGUGCUGAAGAUGCACUGUUAAAAAACCAGAGACGGGCACAACAAUUGCUUGAAGAAAUCCGUGCCAUGAAGAAAGAUAAAUCUGGAGGAGCAUGGAGGCAUGAUAAACCAGGACCAGUGUGCUGAGUAUUGGGAGAAAUGUAAAAUUGGAAACUCAACUGUACUUGGGAGAGAGAUCCUGUACAUGAUGCUGAUAGCAAAAUGUACAGUAAGUGCCUCAUGUGUAAACAUACUUGAUGGUACCAGUAAACCUUGGGGUUUAACUGUAGUAACUGGUUUUACAGUGAGAGUUGAUCCUGCCCUAAUAUCUGAAGAGGAUUCCUCAAGAAAGCAAAAAGAGCCGUCGUGAAAUAUACAAUUAUUUAUCUGCUUGACAGCUAAAACAAAGAAGAGAUGCCAGUUAACAAUUUGGCCACCAUGGAAGAUAAAAAUAAUCAGGAAGAGGAAAAUGGUCUUUUAUGAUUGUUGAGUGCUUUAAAUGAGAAAUGAGAACAAAAUAAGAAGUCUGUCUGGUUUCUUACCAGAUGAUUUUCACUGAAGUAGACUGCCUGAUGUUAUUGUUGAAACUUCAUGUCUCUAAGGAACUGUCUCCACUGUUGCAUCAAUUAGGAUUCUUGCUCGAGUGCUUAUACAAGGGAUUCAUUACUCAUUUUUUAAUCUGAGAUACUAAGAACCCUUUUGUUUAUAUACUUACUUUUAGUCUUGUCAACAAUGCCCUUCCCCCCAAAAAGGUAGUCUUUUUGGUGUAAAGUUUGAGUGUUGAGAAUUAUCAGCUCUUCAAACCAAAGAGAGUAACUCAUGGUCUAGAAGCCUUUGAGUAGUAUUUUACACUAAAGUGGAGAUAAAAUUAGAAGAUGUUUCCUACACUAGAAGAUAAAAGUUACUAUUGGCACUCAAAAUAUUAAAUAUGAUAUUAUGAUUUCACUUACUUUUCUCUUUGAGAGAUUUAGAUGACAAUAUCCUCUGAGUAACAGAUUUGAUCUGUUUUUACCAAUAUUGUGAUGAAAAAGCUACUUAAAUAAUUGUGACUUUUCACAGCUGUGAGAUCCUUACUGAUUGAAAUUUUUCAUCAAGAGUGCACAAUAAUGUAGAUAUUUCACCAAAAUAUUCUAUGUAGAUAGAGAUGAUAUUGAUGUAGAUACAGACACAGACAUAGAUAUUUACUGACAUAUUACCUAACAUUGGUUUAUUUAGUGACCCAUGAACUCUUUUAGAAUGAAAAAAAUCUCUGAAAGCCAAUGAGGCAAAUAUAAGUCAGUCAGACACAUUUCAGUCAGUCAUUUCCCCAAAUAUUGCCUCUUAAUAAGUUUAAAAGAAAAAAAAAAGAGUAAGAAAAAAAGAAAAGAAAGACUUAUCAGAAUUUGCCCAGACUAUUCAGGGUGUUCUAGGAACUUCCUGAUUGAGGAUUGGAUGGCUCGAGAACAAGUCAGGGUCUUGUAGAGGCAGUGCCUUCAAGUAUAUCAGAAUGAACGAGUGGCCUGGAGACUGUGACACAGCUCAGCAGGAAACUGCGUCUCUCUGGCAGUCCUCCCUCCGUCACAUGGGAGCAGUUUUAUCUAUGGGAACUGCCCAGAGGGGGAACUGACAGAGCUGAUAUCAACAGAAAAGCAAAGUUUUAAAGGAACUAAUUAAAACCAGUCUCAUAAAAAGCCAAAUGGAGUCUCCUGGGAAAAUUUCUUUAAACACAACAAUUUAAGAAGUUUGUGAUCUCUGGAGAUACUUAUUCAAGAAAGAAGUCUUUGAUUAGCUGCUAUGAUACAUAUUUGAUGAUAACUUAGGAACUAUUAUGGAGCAGCUAUGGUCCAAAACCCAGAUUUACAAAACCCUUAAACUUAAUUUUUGUAAUUCUCUUACAGAAGAAUACGUUGAUAAGGGAUAAUUGAAAGAGAAAUGUUAAUGUAAUUGAAAGAAAUAUAAAGAGAAAAUUCUCUAGGGAAAACUUUGUAGAAGGCAGAGAGGAGAAAAUUUUUUUGUUUUGUUUUGUUUUAUGUGAAAGUUUUAUGCACAAGCUGAACAGGUAAUCAUUUCAUGGGUGAUUUUAGAGCCACAAACAAUUCCUACACCAAAGUACCAAUACCCUUUAAAGCUUAAAAAAAAAUAGAAUGCAAUAGUGAUUUUCAUAUAAGCAAAAUCAAACAUACAGUGGACUUAAAGAUGAUAAAACAUGAAUGUCACUUUGGUAACAUCAUUGAAAGCUUUUAAAAAAUAAGCACAUCCUUGUCCUCGAAAUUCCACUGACAUGACAAAUGUGAAAUGUUUGUACAAGGAUGCUAUCAGAAUUUUUUUGGUAAUUUUUAGAAGCAAAAGCAAAGGGGAAUCUAAAAAUUGUCAUUAGUUAUGGCUUAAAAAUGAGGUGUAUUGCCACAUUGGAGAAUUCUUAGGGAAAAACCACAAAAUUUUAAAGAAGGAGAUGAGUUUUAAAAUAUGGUGAAAAACACACACAAAAACCUGAAGUUAAAUAGAUGCAUAAUAUCUUUAAUGAGCUGUAGAUAGGUGCAUAGUAGGUUUUAAGAAUAAUAAGAUAUGUGCACACAUUUACUAAUCACAUUAGUAUAUAAUAUUUCUGGGUACAAUCACAGAAUGUAAAGUUGGGAAAUAUAUGCCCCAAAAUAUUUGGAUUAGUUAUUUCUACCCUAUGUGAUUCUAUACUUUUUUCUUUUGGUGUAUCAGUUUAAUGCUUUUCAAUGAUACGCAUUUUUCUCUAAUAAAAUCAUAAUAAAGAAAAGGAUGCCUUAUAAUCUGCCAAAUACAUUACAUGAUAGAAAGAAUAAACUAUACUUUUAUCUUAAAAUAUGGUCCUAUUUUUUGGCCUAGAACUUGUGCCUGUUGUUUCUAUUGCAUCCUCCUGUGUCUGAGAACAGGUUUGCAACAUUGUUCCAUGUGUCAAAUUAAAAAAUGAAUUUCAUGUGAACCAGUUA